Molecule: ribosomal RNA, 292 nt
Filed under: uncultured bacterium
Lineage: Bacteria
Description: partial 16S ribosomal RNA
Rfam family: Bacterial small subunit ribosomal RNA
Source: RNAcentral
GUGUCAGCCGCCGCGGUAAUACGGAGGGUGCAAGCGUUGUUCGGAAUUAUUGGGCGUAAAGCGCGUGUAGGCGGCUCGUUAAGUCUGAUGUGAAAGCCCUGGGCUUAACCUGGGAAGUGCAUUGGAAACUGGCGAACUUGAGUAUGGGAGAGGAAAGUGGAAUUCCGAGUGUAGGGGUGAAAUCCGUAGAUAUUCGGAGGAACACCAGUGGCGAAGGCGGCUUUCUGGACCAAUACUGACGCUGAGACGCGAAAGCGUGGGGAGCAAACAGGAUUAGAAACCCCAGUAGUCC